Molecule: small RNA, 84 nt
Filed under: Anaerolineae bacterium
Lineage: Bacteria; Bacillati; Chloroflexota; Anaerolineae
Description: tRNA-Ala
Rfam family: transfer-messenger RNA
About the family: Bacterial tmRNA, also known as 10Sa RNA or SsrA, is named for its dual tRNA and mRNA-like properties. Its role is to liberate the mRNA from a stalled ribosome.
Source: RNAcentral
GGGGGUGCCAGGGUUCGACGGGCGGAGCGCGGCUGGCGACCGCGCGGCGAAGCCCGGACGGCGGUUCGAUUCCGCCCACCUCCA